Long non-coding RNA from Pipra filicauda (Wire-tailed manakin), 280 nucleotides. RefSeq lists it as uncharacterized. NCBI's taxonomy places the organism in Eukaryota, Metazoa, Chordata, Aves, Passeriformes, Pipridae. The transcript is spliced from 3 exons. The record is from RefSeq and is a predicted model, not a curated record.
CCUUUCCAGGCUGCUGUGAUGGAUGCACAUCAUUCCCAGGCGGAGAGCAUCUCAAACAGUAAUGAAAGCACCGCACAAAGAGCUGCUCUGUAAGUGAUGCAAAUAAUUCUUGGGCAAAGCCCCGUGCGUGGCAGGGAUGAGGCAAUGAUGUCAUUUUGCUUCCCAGUGAGAUUCCCUGAAGGAUACAGCUGCCUUUCCAUGCCAGUGCCAGGAUUUGCACAAGGGGAGCACGAGAGGAUGGAGAACACCAGAAAAAACCACAGUAUUACAGAGCACGAAC